Long non-coding RNA from Tigriopus californicus, 1413 nucleotides. RefSeq lists it as uncharacterized. The transcript has 3 exons. The record is from RefSeq and is a predicted model, not a curated record. Lineage: Eukaryota; Metazoa; Arthropoda; Copepoda; Harpacticoida; Harpacticidae.
GGCAGCCAAGGAAUGAACCACGAACGCAAUCAAACACAAGAGAAGAGGAGACGACGAGCGGGAAAAAGGGCGCGCGCGGGAAUGUUUAAAUGAGCGAGACAUGGCCUAGUUGGAGGCCAUGUUGGAGGCCAUGAGCUCGGGUGCGAAGCAAAUAUGUUUGAAGGCUUUUUCUUGUCCAGUCUCACCGCCUCGAACUUGUGUACACUUUUUCCCUCUCUGGACGGGAUCCGAUCCACCGGAGCGAUCAUCAUGGCAUGGCAAAUGGACCAACCCUAAUCCGAGACAACGAUGAUUCAAAGUCAGGGCGGAUGUGCCCAAGUGCCAAGACUUGUCGAGGUGCAAUCUAAUACAAUGAUGAAGUUGGUCCCGAUCGUCACACCUUGAGCCCGCUAUCGUCUCGCGUGAAUGUCAGUCAGAGCCAAAAAAAGUUUCCCACCAUUGGCCUUGCAUCUUUCACAAGUCACAGCACGAAAGGCUUUGGUCUUUUCGGUCCUUUUCUUCCAUUUUUCUACCUUUUUAUGACGAAGAAAACUUUGUGGUGCUUUCUCGGCAUUCUUGAACCCUCCGGAUGGUCGUGCGUACUCUUUUGCCAACAAAUAGCCUUUCUCGGGGGUCCCCAGCCAUGAAAAUCAUUCCGGUUAAACAAGCAAAGAACCAUCUGAAAUUCUGAGAACGCAAAGUGGUUCCACGUUUCUCCCCCAAGCCAAAAGAGUGCAAGUGGAAUCCAAGAAGGACGCUCAUACCUUACUUCCGUCCAAACUACACUGUCAAGUGGUUUGUUUCGCGGAAUCCUGACGUGUCACCAAGGUCUGCGGGCUCGCUUUUUUUUCUCGUUCUUGGAGGCAAUGGUAUCCAAGCACUAAAUUGAAUCACGCCCAAGACGACCAUAAAUCUUAUCCCGGCAAGAGAGGCGAUUUCUUUCUCAGCGACCCAGUAAUACCUCAUCAGUUUCCGGUUUCUCUCUCCCCUCUUCCCCUUUGGCGUGCAGACUUAAAACCCUGGUUGUGCAGUUCCAUUUACCCAAUGGCACAAGCCCAAAGGAACUAGGUAAUUCUUUUGGCAAAAAAAGAAGCCUACAGAGUUUCCUAGAAUUCUCAAAUGUGGCACAUAUAUUUAUCAUAAUCUAAUUCAAUCAUCAUACAAUGAUAGAGAGAAUAUGACUGAAUACAUAACAUAAAAACAAGAGAUGAUUAUAAGGAGGAAGCAAAGCAUAAUUUAGAUCAAGGUCGUUGAGGGUGAAGAAGGAAUGAAGAAAGAAACAGGAGAUAGAAAGAGAAUGAGCCGAAAUUCGAAAUUCAAGACGAUUGUGUUAAGUGUGGCCAAUCCCAUUCGAUGGAGCAAAAUUAUCGAUUAUAAAUAUUAUACACACAAAAAAUUCUAUCAACCCGUGCCCAGUUUGAUACUUCAUCUAAA